UUGUUUUCAUGGAUAAAAAAUAGAAAUUAUCAUUUGGUUGUAGCUAAAAUAUGAACGAUGAUUGGCAAUUACGGUAUUGAAUUUCCUCCUGUUUUAUGUACAUCUCAACGCUCAUAUAUACCUCCAGACAAAGGUACCAGUUGUACACCUGGACUAUCAAGACCCGUAUGAGGGUUUGGAUGGGGUUAAAUGAUUAAAGAAUAAUGCCCUUAAAAAUUAAAGAUUAGAGAAUAACGGGCCAAAAAAAUGAAGAUUAGAGAAAAAAGGGGUUAAAUUUUGGAAGAUUAGAGAAAAAAGGGGUUAUUUUUUUAAUGAGAAAAAAAGGGGCGAAAAUUAAAUGUUUACAGAAUAAGUAAACAGAACCCCUCCCCCAUCCAGACCCUCCCGUAUCGGCAAUCCUCGUGUGACUCUAGAUGAAAGGAACGGAAUUGGCCGAGUUGUGACGAAUAUCAACCCCCGAGAUACAGG
Molecule: long non-coding RNA, 468 nt
Filed under: Mytilus galloprovincialis (Mediterranean mussel)
Lineage: Eukaryota; Metazoa; Mollusca; Bivalvia; Mytilida; Mytilidae
Source: RNAcentral